Non-coding RNA from Caenorhabditis elegans, 135 nucleotides. The record is from Ensembl. Lineage: Eukaryota; Metazoa; Nematoda; Chromadorea; Rhabditida; Rhabditidae.
UGAGUAAAAUGUAUAGAAAGAGUUGGUUUCCUUUUCUUCUUUCUAUCCACAUCUUCUUUAGAAGGGUGGAGUCUUGAAGAAAGAGAGAUAGACACAUAUGUCUUUUGGCCCAAUUCCAAUGGUCCCUUAAUGCAA